Long non-coding RNA from Apodemus sylvaticus (European woodmouse), 664 nucleotides. RefSeq lists it as uncharacterized. The record is from RefSeq and is a predicted model, not a curated record. The transcript is spliced from 4 exons. Lineage: Eukaryota; Metazoa; Chordata; Mammalia; Rodentia; Muridae.
CAGUCCUUCUGUGUCUAGCUCUAUUACAGAGUGUGAGAGGAGAGACAGAAUACUGUACCCAUAAGGCCAGGACUUUAUAACAAAGACUGCCUUAUUCCAGAGAUAUGUACAUAUGUGUAUAAACCCUCCCUCCAGGCCACAAGCUCUUGGCAGGAUGGGCAAUUACCAAUCGAGUCACCAGUUUGUCCCCAUAGUGUGAUCUUAAAGGAGACUUGGUCCCAGUCAUCUCCACCAGUGCCCUCAGCUCUGUGUGUGCAGACAGCUUCCUGGGAUGAGAUGCUCUGCUGCUAAAUGCCUCGAGGAUACUGGCGCAAGUAAGGUCACAGAGCUAGACUACAGCUCGAGCUGGGAACCUCCAAGCCCCGCCCUUCUUCAACUUCAUAGAGGUAGCUAUGAAGACGGGAUGGCUGUCCUGUCUGGCUGCCCAGCAGGUCUAGUAAAACAGAAUACACGGAUGGAUUCUGUGAGGAAGUGAGAAGCUGGACAGCGGUGAGGCCCACACGUCUGGGCAACAUUCACCGUGUGAAGAGCUCCGAUGCUGCCCAGAACACCAGAUAAUGUUUUCUGCAGCCCUGGAAUGGCCGAAGCCUGGCUUCCAUCCAGCCACCACUACCUUAAAAGUAUAUGCACAGACUUUUAAUAAUAAACACAGUGCUAUAUUGUA